This 1074-nucleotide long non-coding RNA is filed under the name Macaca fascicularis (crab-eating macaque). Its description in RNAcentral is "lncRNA (ENSMFAG00000046659.2)". The record is from RNAcentral. Lineage: Eukaryota; Metazoa; Chordata; Mammalia; Primates; Cercopithecidae.
UUCCCCAGGCCAGGAAGCGGUAGGCAGGGGCCAGGGAUGGAUUUUAAAGGUAAAGUUCUCAGACCCAAUGGGAACAUGAACUGGUAAACUCUCCUCAACUCCCAAAGAAAAAGGACUUGGGUCUUUGUUGGUUUCUGCCCACAGCCAGAGAACUCAAAGUCUGAAACUAGAUUCUCUCGAAAAGACAGUCACAGAAACCUUCAGAGAUGGAGUGUGAGAAAAGCCCACCCUUCUGCCAGCCUGUGAUUUAGAAAGGUGCCUUCAUUCAACAGACAUUGACUGAGCACAUACGGGCCAGAGACGGUUCUUAACAGCGGGAGAAUAGGACGGAAAAGGCAGACAGGAACCCUCAGUCCCGAGGUUUCCAUUCUAGUGGGCCUUUAACUCUCCGACUCUCAGAGCUAACAGACACCUCUGAUACUCUCUAACUCUACCUCAGGAAACGCAAGCCGAGAAGGAGACUUUACAGUAGGCCGUGGACUAGGGAUUAACAUAAAAACAACAAUGAUAAAUCUCAUUUAAACUUCACCAAUGGAGGUAAAACCAAACCACUCCUAUUUUACAGAUGUGAGAAGAGAGGCCCAAAGAGCUCAAGGAAUUUGCCCUCUAUCAUAUCCCCAGCAGAUGGAGAGGAUUCAAACCCAGAAUUCUUAAGCAGUGCCUGGGAGUUCUUCCACAAUCUUAACAAUUACCCUCCACCACCCCUUGGGCCCUCUGUCCCCAGGAGCCUGGCCAGCCAAGACUCACAUCCUCAGUGUUCCACAGCUGCUCCACGUAAUCUGCCCAAGACUUCGGCUGCAUUCAGUUGAACACACAGGAGGAAACUUCACUCCCCAGCCGACCACACAAAGAUCCGUUCUCAUCCCCAGGGCAGCUGCUCUGGCCACUCCACCCGCGCCCUGGAUGGCUCCAGUUGCUGUGAGCGCGACCACCCGCCGCGUGAUUAAGAGCGCUCCGGGCCGGGCAGUCUCCCGUGGGAGUGGGGGCGUGGGUGAGUGCGACGGAAAUCCCGCCUUCCGGCGCCCGCGCUUGACCCUGGCCUCAGACGGUGAGCUCCAAGUAGGAAGAUGAGCG